CAUGGCUAACAUAAGGAACUGUUUAAAAAGAAAAAGGACAGAUCCAUUAAUGAGGUAAUGAAUUAUUGCCUUUAGGUUGGGAUAGACCAGGGCCAGGUAGAAAAGAAUGAAAGAGAAAGACAGGGAGAGGCAGAGAGAGAGAGAGAGAGGAGAAAGUGAGCUCAGCGAGUUGGCCGGGUGACACACUGAUGAAGGGGUCAAAGGACACUCUGAGUUAGUGCCCUCGGGACACACAGCGAACAGUGAUCAUGAAAAGAGUGGACUCAAUAAUUUUCCAUAAACUUGCUCAAGAUUCCAUGCAGUUGCCAUACAGCCUUUGAGGUAUGGUCAACCUAUAGUAAGUUAGUAAAUGAUAAGGGGAGGAAGAAAUGGAAACCUAAACAUCUACCGCAAUGAAAACCAACAGCAAUGUCAGUAGGAGUAAUUCAACCUUCGUUGAAAACAUGAAAUUGAACACACUCUUGUUUUCCCUGGACCUGGCAU
RNAcentral lists this long non-coding RNA (483 nucleotides) under Homo sapiens (human). Its description in RNAcentral is "HSALNT0295071". Lineage: Eukaryota; Metazoa; Chordata; Mammalia; Primates; Hominidae. The record is from RNAcentral.